Molecule: ribosomal RNA, 801 nt
Filed under: uncultured bacterium
Lineage: Bacteria
Description: bacterial SSU rRNA
Rfam family: Bacterial small subunit ribosomal RNA
Source: RNAcentral
AGAGUUUGAUCAUGGCUCAGAUUGAACGCUGGCGGCAGGCCUAACACAUGCAAGUCGAGCGGUAGCACAAGAGAGCUUGCUCUCUGGGUGACGAGCGGCGGACGGGUGAGUAAUGUCUGGGGAACUGCCUGAUGGAGGGGGAUAACUACUGGAAACGGUAGCUAAUACCGCAUAACGUCUUCGGACCAAAGUGGGGGACCUUCGGGCCUCACGCCAUCAGAUGUGCCCAGAUGGGAUUAGCUAGUAGGUGGGGUAAUGGCUCACCUAGGCGACGAUCCCUAGCUGGUCUGAGAGGAUGACCAGCCACACUGGAACUGAGACACGGUCCAGACUCCUACGGGAGGCAGCAGUGGGGAAUAUUGCACAAUGGGCGCAAGCCUGAUGCAGCCAUGCCGCGUGCGUGAAGAAGGCCUUCGGGUUGUAAAGCACUUUCAGCGAGGAGGAAGGGUAGUGUGUUAAUAGCACAUUGCAUUGACGUUACUCGCAGAAGAAGCACCGGCUAACUCCGUGCCAGCAGCCGCGGUAAUACGGAGGGUGCAAGCGUUAAUCGGAAUUACUGGGCGUAAAGCGCACGCAGGCGGUUUGUUAAGUCAGAUGUGAAAUCCCCGCGCUUAACGUGGGAACUGCAUUUGAAACUGGCAAGCUAGAGUCUUGUAGAGGGGGGUAGAAUUCCAGGUGUAGCGGUGAAAUGCGUAGAGAUCUGGAGGAAUACCGGUGGCGAAGGCGGCCCCCUGGACAAAGACUGACGCUCAGGUGCGAAAGCGUGGGGAGCAAACAGGAUUAGAUACCCCGGUAGUCCAA